CCUACGGGAGGCAGCAGUGGGGAAUCUUGCGCAAUGGACGAAAGUCUGACGCAGCGACGCCGCGUGAGGGAGGAAGCUCUUCGGGGUGUUAACCUCUGUUGCCGCAACGAAACGCCAGAUUCGUCUGGCUUGACGGUACUCGGUGAGGAAGCGCCGGCUAACUCUGUGCCAGCAGCCGCGGUAAU
This 185-nucleotide ribosomal RNA is filed under the name uncultured soil bacterium. Its description in RNAcentral is "partial 16S ribosomal RNA". It matches the Rfam family "Bacterial small subunit ribosomal RNA", at positions 338 to 524 of the family's 1533-position model. The record is from RNAcentral.